This 351-nucleotide long non-coding RNA is filed under the name Lathyrus oleraceus (garden pea). Its description in RNAcentral is "Pisum sativum (pea) long non-coding RNA (PSAT_LNC021773)". Lineage: Eukaryota; Viridiplantae; Streptophyta; Magnoliopsida; Fabales; Fabaceae. The record is from RNAcentral.
UUUUUUUCUAUUUUCUCUUUCUAUUUUUCUUUUUCUUCCAACUUCUGAAAUAUUACAAACAUGAUUGUUCAACUCCAAACAAGACACUUUCAACCCUUUGAAUAGGGACAUUGUUUUUCACUUCUUGACUUUUAAUGAGUUUAAAAAAAAUAGGAUAAUAGGAUCAAGGGGGUUUCAAACAAGGGAUGAUAUUAUUUCAGGGUUGGCUUUUUGGCUAACUAGUUAAAAAUAAAAUAAAAUAAAAACAAAAUUUCCUUUAUCAUAUCAGUGUGCACAAGUAAACAACAUCAUCAAUAAGAGUCAAUUCAAGUUCUAGAGACUAACAAACAUGAGUGAAUCACACAAGAAAAA